Long non-coding RNA from Juglans microcarpa x Juglans regia, 340 nucleotides. RefSeq lists it as uncharacterized. The record is from RefSeq and is a predicted model, not a curated record. NCBI's taxonomy places the organism in Eukaryota, Viridiplantae, Streptophyta, Magnoliopsida, Fagales, Juglandaceae. The transcript is spliced from 2 exons.
UUAUAGUUCCCUGGGUUUGCUUGGUCAAGCGGGGGAUAUUAACCAAUUGACAUAUUUUCAGUUUGGUUGGGGGCAUAUACUGCUAGGUACAUCAAAUAGCACAAUUAUCAAAAGCUGUGUAGAGAGAGAGAGGCAGAGAGAUGAGGUAGGCUGAAAAUAGAGCUGGUCGCCUUCUGGGUCUGGUUUGUAGUAUUUCUUUUUUUUCUUUUUUCCAACCUAGAGGGCUUUGGUUUGUGGUGUUGGGUAAUGGAAACUGGGAAAACUGAAUGACAGGGCCUUUUGGGAGAAGCAGAAGCAGUAGAAUCAGGUUUCAGUGUGGUGCCAGCUGCACAAGCAACAA